CGGAUCCGCGCCGCUGCAGAGUUUGAUCCUGGCUCAGGAUGAACGCUGGCGGCGUGCCUAACACAUGCAAGUCGAGCGAGAAAUUGCAGAUUGAAACUUCGGUCGAAAGAAGCGAUGGACAGCGGCGGACGGGUGAGUAACGCGUAGGUAACCUACCUUAAGCUGAGGGAUAGCCUAGGGAAACCUGGAUUAAUACCACAUAACGCGGAGGGGUCACAUGGCCUUUCCGCCAAAGAUUUAUCGGCCUAAGAUGGACCUGCGUCUGAUUAGAUAGUUGGUGAGGUAACGGCCCACCAAGUCGACGAUCAGUAGCCGAUCUGAGAGGAUAAUCGGCCACAUUGGAACUGAGACACGGUCCAAACUCCUACGGGAGGCAGCAGUGGGGAAUAUUGCACAAUGGGCGCAAGCCUGAUGCAGCAACGCCGCGUGAGCGAAGAAGGUCUUCGGAUCGUAAAGCUCUGUCCUUGGGGAAGAAGAAAGUGACGGUACCCGAGGAGGAAGCCCCGGCUAACUACGUGCCAGCAGCCGCGGUAAUACGUAGGGGGCAAGCGUUAUCCGGAAUUAUUGGGCGUAAAGAGUACGUAGGUGGCAGCGUAAGCGCAAGGUGAAAGAUCGGGGCUUAACUCCGGUGAGCCUUGUGAACUGCGCAGCUUGAGUGCAGGAGGGGAAAGUGGAAUUCCUAGUGUAGCGGUGAAAUGCGUAGAUAUUAGGAGGAACACCAGUGGCGAAGGCGACUUUCUGGACUGUAACUGACACUGAGGUACGAAAGCGUGGGGAGCAAACAGGAUUAGAUACCCUGGUAGUCCACGCCGUAAACGAUGAGCACUAGGUGUUGGCGUAGAAAUACGUCGGUGCCGAAGUUAACGCAUUAAGUGCUCCGCCUGGGGAGUACGCACGCAAGUGUGAAACUCAAAGGAAUUGACGGGGACCCGCACAAGCAGCGGAGCAUGUGGUUUAAUUCGAAGCAACGCGAAGAACCUUACCAGGACUUGACAUCCUCUUGCAAGGCGGAGUAACGUCUGCCCCUCCUUCGGGACAAGAGAGACAGGUGGUGCAUGGUUGUCGUCAGCUCGUGUCGUGAGAUGUUGGGUUAAGUCCCGCAACGAGCGCAACCCUUGCCUUUAGUUGCCAGCAGUAAGAUGGGCACUCUAGAGGGACUGCCGGGGACAACUCGGAGGAAGGUGGGGAUGACGUCAAAUCAUCAUGCCCCUUAUGUUCUGGGCUACACACGUGCUACAAUGGUCGUUACAGAGAGAAGCAAAGCCGCGAGGCAGAGCAAAACUCUAAAGGCGAUCCCAGUUCGGACUGCAGGCUGCAACUCGCCUGCACGAAGUCGGAGUUGCUAGUAAUCGCGAAUCAGAACGUCGCGGUGAAUGCGUUCCCGGGUCUUGUACACACCGCCCGUCACACCAUGGAAGUUGGGGGCGCCCGAAGUUGGCUAAGAAGUUACCUAAGGCGAAACCAAUGACUGGGGUGAAGUCGUAACAAGGUAA
This 1493-nucleotide ribosomal RNA is filed under the name uncultured bacterium. RNAcentral describes it as "bacterial SSU rRNA". It matches the Rfam family "Bacterial small subunit ribosomal RNA". The record is from RNAcentral.